RNAcentral lists this small RNA (31 nucleotides) under Bombyx mori (domestic silkworm). RNAcentral describes it as "ovarian small RNA-31483". Lineage: Eukaryota; Metazoa; Arthropoda; Insecta; Lepidoptera; Bombycidae. The record is from RNAcentral.
UGACAUUGCCUCGAUGGAGCGCAAGCGCAGA